This 850-nucleotide ribosomal RNA is filed under the name Acinetobacter baumannii. RNAcentral describes it as "bacterial SSU rRNA". It matches the Rfam family "Bacterial small subunit ribosomal RNA", at positions 34 to 878 of the family's 1533-position model. The record is from RNAcentral. Lineage: Bacteria; Pseudomonadati; Pseudomonadota; Gammaproteobacteria; Moraxellales; Moraxellaceae.
CGCUGGCGGCAGGCUUAACACAUGCAAGUCGAGCGGGGGAAGGUAGCUUGCUACUGGACCUAGCGGCGGACGGGUGAGUAAUGCUUAGGAAUCUGCCUAUUAGUGGGGGACAACAUCUCGAAAGGGAUGCUAAUACCGCAUACGUCCUACGGGAGAAAGCAGGGGAUCUUCGGACCUUGCGCUAAUAGAUGAGCCUAAGUCGGAUUAGCUAGUUGGUGGGGUAAAGGCCUACCAAGGCGACGAUCUGUAGCGGGUCUGAGAGGAUGAUCCGCCACACUGGGACUGAGACACGGCCCAGACUCCUACGGGAGGCAGCAGUGGGGAAUAUUGGACAAUGGGGGGAACCCUGAUCCAGCCAUGCCGCGUGUGUGAAGAAGGCCUUAUGGUUGUAAAGCACUUUAAGCGAGGAGGAGGCUACUUUAGUUAAUACCUAGAGAUAGUGGACGUUACUCGCAGAAUAAGCACCGGCUAACUCUGUGCCAGCAGCCGCGGUAAUACAGAGGGUGCGAGCGUUAAUCGGAUUUACUGGGCGUAAAGCGUGCGUAGGCGGCUUAUUAAGUCGGAUGUGAAAUCCCCGAGCUUAACUUGGGAAUUGCAUUCGAUACUGGUGAGCUAGAGUAUGGGAGAGGAUGGUAGAAUUCCAGGUGUAGCGGUGAAAUGCGUAGAGAUCUGGAGGAAUACCGAUGGCGAAGGCAGCCAUCUGGCCUAAUACUGACGCUGAGGUACGAAAGCAUGGGGAGCAAACAGGAUUAGAUACCCUGGUAGUCCAUGCCGUAAACGAUGUCUACUAGCCGUUGGGGCCUUUGAGGCUUUAGUGGCGCAGCUAACGCGAUAAGUAGACCGCCUGGGG